GUCAUGUACUUGAAUGGAGGUAGUCCAUGGUGUGUUCAUUCUUAUUAAUGAUGAUUAUUACAUGGCCAAUCUCCUUUCAGUACUAAUCUCUUUCUGG
Molecule: microRNA precursor, 97 nt
Filed under: Procavia capensis (Cape rock hyrax)
Lineage: Eukaryota; Metazoa; Chordata; Mammalia; Hyracoidea; Procaviidae
Source: RNAcentral